Molecule: unclassified non-coding RNA, 385 nt
Filed under: uncultured Phycisphaeraceae bacterium
Lineage: Bacteria; Pseudomonadati; Planctomycetota; Phycisphaerae; Phycisphaerales; Phycisphaeraceae
Description: contains 16S-23S intergenic spacer region
Source: RNAcentral
UCCGGUUUGACACCGGCAGUCUCGCUAGAGUCCCCGCCAUUACGCGCUGGCAACUAGCGACAGGGGUUGCGCUCGUUAGAGGACUUAACCCGACACUUCACAGCACGAGCUGACGACAGCCAUGCAGCACCUGUGUACGUUCCACCCUUGCGGGUGUCAUUCCUGUUUCCAAGAACUAAUCCGUACAUGUCAAACCCGGGUAAGGUUCUUCGCGUUGCAUCGAAUUAAGCAACAUGCUCCACCGCUUGUGUGAGCCCCCGUCAAUUCCUUUGAGUUUUAGCCUUGCGACCGUACUUCCCAGGCGGCGCACUUAGCGAUUUCUCUGCGACCGACACGGGGUCAAACCCGCACCGAUCAAGUGCGCAUCGUUUACAGCGUGGACUAC